Molecule: ribosomal RNA, 258 nt
Filed under: uncultured bacterium
Lineage: Bacteria
Description: partial small subunit ribosomal RNA
Rfam family: Bacterial small subunit ribosomal RNA
Source: RNAcentral
AGGACGAACGCUGGCGGCGUGCUUAACACAUGCAAGUCGAGCGACGCUCCUCCUUCGGGAGGAUGACGGAGCGGCGAACGGGUGAGUAACACGUGGGCAACCUGCCCCUAGCUCUGGGAUAAGCCCGGGAAACCGGGUCUAAUACCGGAUAUGAAGUCUGAAGGCAUCUUCUGACUUGGAAAGUUUUUCGGCUAGGGAUGGGCCCGCGGCCUAUCAGCUUGUUGGUGAGGUAACGGCCCACCAAGGCGACGACGGGUA